AGGGCCCCCCCAGGAGUGGACCCUGCGUCUUAAUUUGACUCAACACGGGAAAACUCACCCGGCCCGGACACCGGAAGGAUUGACAGACUGAGAUCUCUUUCUUUAGGGGGGGGGGGGGGGUGCGUGGCCGUUCUUGGGUGGGGGAGCUAUUUGUCUGGUUAAUCCCUAUAACGCACGACACUCUGGCCUAUUAAAUAGACGAUAUAUCUAAAAGUAUCUCGCACUUCUGAGAGGGACACGCGGUGCCUAGCCGCAUGAAAUAGAACAUAACAGGUCUGUGAUGCCCUUAGACGUCCGGGGCUGCACGCGCGCUAUAAUGAAAAUAAUCAGCGGGCGUUCCCCUAGUUCGGAAGAGCUGGGUCACCCAAGUCUCUUCUUUCGUGCUUGGAAUAGUUAAUUGCUAUUAUCUCCCAUCAAACGAGUACUUCCCAGUUGAUGCUGGUCAUAAGCUCGUGUUGAUUACCUCCCUGCCCUUUGUACACACCGCCCGUCGCUACUACCGAUUGGAUGACUUAAUGA
Molecule: ribosomal RNA, 519 nt
Filed under: uncultured eukaryote
Lineage: Eukaryota
Description: partial 18S ribosomal RNA
Rfam family: Eukaryotic small subunit ribosomal RNA
Source: RNAcentral